AAUGCUUUUCUGGAGAGCUUGUAAAACACUGCGUACAUCAAAUAAAUCUGCAGAAAUGACUAACCCAAAGGACAUGAAGUAGCUCCUUUUGGAGUCAACAUACACAGAUGCCAGUGGGAGAUAAGCAAAGGACUUUCAGAUAUUUUCUAGCUUCUGCAGAAAAGAAUCUGUGGAAAUCUGCUCUGUAACCAGACAGCUGAUUCAGCAAGAAAGAAGCAAUAAACAGUAGAAGUGUAAAAUCGUGACUGACCUUAACUGAAACUACAGGAAUGAAUGAAGAACCAUAUACCCUCUGACCUUCAGUGCCAGCAUAAUGAACCUUAAAACAUGGAGAAGAACAAGGAGUGGCAAAUGCUAUAUUUUCCCCCGGGAGAAAUAUGGGAAAUGGAAAUAAAGAGGACUGGCCUGCUCUGCAGAUCAUCAGCAGUUACUUUGCUGCCUACCCGUGUCACCUCUCCAAGGACUGCAACUGGGGGUACACCUUCUGGUUAACCUGAGGGUCUCACUCAG
This is a long non-coding RNA of Harpia harpyja (harpy eagle), 510 nucleotides long. RefSeq lists it as uncharacterized. The transcript is spliced from 4 exons. Lineage: Eukaryota; Metazoa; Chordata; Aves; Accipitriformes; Accipitridae. The record is from RefSeq and is a predicted model, not a curated record.